This 621-nucleotide ribosomal RNA is filed under the name Chromobacterium haemolyticum. Its description in RNAcentral is "bacterial SSU rRNA". It matches the Rfam family "Bacterial small subunit ribosomal RNA", at positions 104 to 719 of the family's 1533-position model. Lineage: Bacteria; Pseudomonadati; Pseudomonadota; Betaproteobacteria; Neisseriales; Chromobacteriaceae. The record is from RNAcentral.
GGGUGAGUAAUGCAUCGGAAUGUACCGUGUAAUGGGGGAUAGCUCGGCGAAAGCCGGAUUAAUACCGCAUACGCCCUGAGGGGGAAAGUGGGGGACCGUAAGGCCUCACGUUAUACGAGCAGCCGAUGUCUGAUUAGCUAGUUGGUGGGGUAAAGGCUCACCAAGGCGACGAUCAGUAGCGGGUCUGAGAGGAUGAUCCGCCACACUGGGACUGAGACACGGCCCAGACUCCUACGGGAGGCAGCAGUGGGGAAUUUUGGACAAUGGGCGCAAGCCUGAUCCAGCCAUGCCGCGUGUCUGAAGAAGGCCUUCGGGUUGUAAAGGACUUUUGUCCGGGAGCAAAUCCCAGUGGUUAACACCUACUGGGGCUGAGAGUACCGGAAGAAUAAGCACCGGCUAACUACGUGCCAGCAGCCGCGGUAAUACGUAGGGUGCAAGCGUUAAUCGGAAUUACUGGGCGUAAAGCGUGCGCAGGCGGUUGUGCAAGUCUGAUGUGAAAGCCCCGGGCUUAACCUGGGAACGGCAUUGGAGACUGCACGACUAGAGUGCGUCAGAGGGGGGUAGAAUUUCCGCGUGUAGCAGUGAAAUGCGGUAGAGAUGCGGAGGAAUACCGAUGGCGAA